Molecule: non-coding RNA, 831 nt
Organism: Nelumbo nucifera (sacred lotus)
Lineage: Eukaryota; Viridiplantae; Streptophyta; Magnoliopsida; Proteales; Nelumbonaceae
Source: RefSeq, a predicted model, not a curated record
CCAUGUCCAUGAUGAUCUCUGUAUAUAUAAUACUCUCUCAGCUUGCUUCAACUCUCACGCAGCUGCGCGGUGACAACAAAGCCAGCCAUUCUUUUCGCCUUUUACUUUUCCAUUUCUUGGAUGGAUGGCCCCAACAAUUCUUUACUCCCAACUCCCAAGUUUUUUCUUUCAGAUACACUUUAGAGUUUAGACUGUGGGGUAUUCAGAUUUCCGAUCAUGCAGCUCUUUAUUUCAUCUUCAUUUAAUCCUUUGUGUUAUCGGUUUCAAACGGAAAGAUUCUCGACCAAAUCGACAAAUUGCAAUUUGCAGUUGAUCUGAUGAUGGUCUGUCGUAGAAGGUUUUGAUUUUUAAUGGUCUGUCGUAGAGGAUUAAUUUCUAGUUUAGUGGGUCAGAAGUGAGAAUAGCCAUUUCAAAAACUGGAAAAGGGUGCUCUGUCGACGACAAUAUCCGCCUGGUGCUGGUGGAGGAAAACCAACACCAAUUCCCCCAGCACCAGACCCUCCGAUUCCUUGAUGAGAAGAAAUGGGCAUUGACAAGGCAACAGGAGAGAUUGAUGAUUUCUUUAUGGAUUUUUGUGGUUUUGUGGAAGCUGUGAUUGUAUGAAAUCAUAGAAAGUAUGUUUUUUUUUUUUUCGUUUUCUGAGAAUUUGUCCUUGUUGGACAUGUAAAAUAUGGGAGAAGUGAAGGAUAAUGAAAAUAGAGUUACGAAUUAAAGGUGUCCAACAAUGUUUAAAGUAGAAAUGUGUUUGUCUUGCACCAUGAUUUGGUCUUACAGAGUAAAAUGAACAAGUCUAAGUAGAAACUUUUGAAUCAAUAAUAUAUUUAUUCCACA